Molecule: long non-coding RNA, 1276 nt
Organism: Brassica rapa (field mustard)
Lineage: Eukaryota; Viridiplantae; Streptophyta; Magnoliopsida; Brassicales; Brassicaceae
Source: RefSeq, a predicted model, not a curated record
UCAUUAUCCCAGAAUUUGUUUAUCAUAAUCCAAUUUUUAUCGAAUCAGUGAACUGUCGUACUCAAUCGAACUCCCAAACCGCGUACACUAUUCAAUAUAUUUAUAUCCAGGAUCUGUUUUGUUUCGGAUAAGUAUCAAAUUAGUUAUUUGUUAUGUUCCUUGUUCAAGAAAAAGAAGUUAUUUGUUAAGUUCCAUCAAGUUUUGUUAUCCAGAUCUUUUGAAUAUGACCAUGGAACGAAACAAACCAUUUUUAGCCUGCGCAAACUAGUGUAUUCGAAUUUAGAGUAUUGUUUUUAUUCUAAAAAUUAUCAAAUAAAAACUGAAUAUAUAAUAGAGCAAAUUAGCUCAAUAUACUAAAAAGGGUGAGAUACCAUAAUGGGAAGAAAAUGAUAAUGAUAGGGGAAAGAAAAUUGAAGGGAUAUAGAGUAUGUAAUGCAAAUAGAGGAUAUUUGGUGUGUAUGGAGUACAAAUUCUCUAUAUAAUAACACUCGUAUUUAGAUAGAUAUAGUUAAGACCAUUAUGCAUAUAUUAUCCUAAAAAUACAUUAGUUUUGACUUUCAAAUUUUCAAAAAUUAAUAUAUACAGAUUUUGUUCAGACAUAUAUAUAUAUAUAGAUUAUAUCAUUUUAAUACAUAAAUUUACUAAAAUUUAUCUUAAAAUGUGUAUUUUUUUUUGUCAACAUCUUAAAAUGUGUAUACUUCAUUAAAUUUCAAAGUCUGUUCUGGCCACGGUUUUCAUAUAUAUUAUCGACCAAACUACAAUUAGUUGGAGGACAAAAUAGUGGAAAAUCCUUAUUAACGUCUAGCUUGGGCAUAUAUCACCUUUGGAAAGUACUAACAUUUGUUUUACUCUGAAGCAAAUAAUUCAUAAGAUAAGGUAUACAUUAAGAAAAAAAGUAAUAUUUUGGUUUUGGGAAACGAAGACUAACCAACACAGAUGUGAAGACGGCAAAGAAAGCACCAAACCCGAGAAUAACGGCGUACCCAACGCCUUGGUCGAGCACCGUAGUAUCUCCGAAGAAGCUGCUCCGCCUCUCGCAUCCGCUUCCGCCACCGUUGUAAUAUUUCGCCGAGAAGUCGAAAGGAGGACACGUGGCCAUAUCUUCUUUCUUCUUCCUCGCACUUUAUAUUGUUGUAAAUGGAAAAGUGGAUAUGUUUCUUCGGAAAUAUGUAGGGAGUGGUAGUUGAAAGAUUCUUCGAUCACUUGUUUAUAGAAAGAAUCUUCAGACAAGGAAGAAUCUCGAUUUGUUCAAAGAAAAUGAAUCUUUUAAACUAAC